UAGGGGAAUCUUGCACAAUGGGGCGAAAGCCUGGUGCAGCAACGCCGCGUGAAGGAUGAAGGUCUUCGGAUUGUAAACUUUUGUCUUAUGGGACGAUAAUGACGGUACCAUAGGAGGAAGCCACGACUAACUACGUGCCAGCAGUCGCGGUAAUACGUAGGUGGCGAGCGUUAUCCGGAAUUAUUGGGUGUAAAGGGUGCGUAGGCGGGACGUAAAGUCAGAUGUGAAAUGCGGAGCUCAACCUCCGAACUGCAUUUGAAACUUACGUUCUUGAGUGGAGUAGAGGCAAGCGGAAUUCCCGGUGUAGCGGUGAAAUGCAUAGAUAUCGGGAGGAACACCAGUGGCGAAGGCGGCUUGGCUGGGCUUUUACUGACGCUGAGGCACGAAAGUGUGGGGAGCAAACAGGAUUAGAUACCCUGGUAGU
This 424-nucleotide ribosomal RNA is filed under the name uncultured Clostridium sp. RNAcentral describes it as "bacterial SSU rRNA". It matches the Rfam family "Bacterial small subunit ribosomal RNA", at positions 354 to 794 of the family's 1533-position model. The record is from RNAcentral. Lineage: Bacteria; Bacillati; Bacillota; Clostridia; Eubacteriales; Clostridiaceae.